This 404-nucleotide ribosomal RNA is filed under the name Actinomycetes bacterium. Its description in RNAcentral is "Actinobacteria bacterium partial 16S ribosomal RNA". It matches the Rfam family "Bacterial small subunit ribosomal RNA", at positions 355 to 776 of the family's 1533-position model. The record is from RNAcentral. Lineage: Bacteria; Bacillati; Actinomycetota; Actinomycetes.
UGGGGAAUAUUGGACAAUGGGCGCAAGCCUGAUCCAGCCAUGCCGCGUGAGUGAUGAAGGCCCUAGGGUUGUAAAGCUCUUUCACCGGUGAAGAUAAUGACGGUAACCGCAGAAGAAGCCCCGGCUAACUUCGUGCCAGCAGCCGCGGUAAUACGAAGGGGGCUAGCGUUGUUCGGAUUUACUGGGCGUAAAGCGCACGUAGGCGGACUAUUAAGUCAGGGGUGAAAUCCCGGGGCUCAACCCCGGAACUGCCUUUGUUACUGGUAGUCUUGAGUUCGAGAGGGGUGAGUGGAGUUCCGAGUGUAGAGGUGAAAUUCGUAGAUAUUCGGAGGAACACCAGUGGCGAAGGCGGCGCACUGGCUCGAUACUGACGCUGAGGUGCGAAAGCGUGGGGAGCAAACAGG